RNAcentral lists this long non-coding RNA (727 nucleotides) under Homo sapiens (human). Its description in RNAcentral is "HSALNT0306759". The record is from RNAcentral. Lineage: Eukaryota; Metazoa; Chordata; Mammalia; Primates; Hominidae.
AAGCCACCAUGCCCAGCUGUGAAAGGACUUUUUUAAAAAAGAUUCUUGUUCUUGUACAGGAUGCUGCAUCUUCUUGUAUCCCUCUGAGAAUGUCACAGAUUUUUUUAAAGUCUUCUUUAAUUCCUUUUUUGUUUCCACUUCUUCAGGAUUCUUCUUUUUUCCCCUUUAUCUGUUUAUUUUAGUUUCUGUGUUCUUCAUGAGAGGAAUUCCGUAACUAGAUGAAGAUCCUUGACUGUUCAUUCAUAUUUAAGGUAAAGCAGUUGAAUGAAUUUUUCAUUUGGUUCUUAGAAGAACUACAACUGUACUUUGAAGAAGUAUGAAGGACUCUGAAGAACUGUGAAGGACUUCAUGCCUCUGUGGUUGGGUGGUCAAGGUCAUGAGAUACUCAGAGGAUCUCUGCAAGCAACUGCCUGCAGGAAAGCAGCUGCCUUCUUGGGAUUUGCUGAUUCAUUUUGACUUUUUUUUUUAGUUUUUCUCUAGCUUCACUUCCAGCUGUUGCAGACACAAGAGAUGAAUGUCUGUUUGAUCAAGAGGAAAGGAGUAAACUUUGUUCUCUCGUAUUAUUUCUCUGCAUUAGUGAAUGUGCUUGCUUCCUAAAUCCUCAUUAGCAAAGUAUCUUCUUAUGAAGAAAUCUGUUCUGUCCUUGCCACUGGAUCCAUCUCUAUAAAGACUCUAGCAAAAAGUUCUAUAGGCACAAUCUAAUAAUAUGCAAAAAUAAAUGCAUCUU